GACGAACGCUGGCGGCGCGCCUAACACAUGCAAGUCGAACGAGCGAGAGAGAGCUUGCUUUCUCGAGCGAGUGGCGAACGGGUGAGUAACGCGUGAGGAACCUGCCUCAAAGAGGGGGACAACAGUUGGAAACGACUGCUAAUACCGCAUAAGCCCACGGGUCGGCAUCGACCAGAGGGAAAUGGAGCAAUCCGCUUUGAGAUGGCCUCGCGUCCGAUUAGCUAGUUGGUGAGGUAACGGCCCACCAAGGCGACGAUCGGUAGCCGGACUGAGAGGUUGAACGGCCACAUUGGGACUGAGACACGGCCCAGACUCCUACGGGAGGCAGCAGUGGGGAAUAUUGCACAAUGGGGGAAACCCUGAUGCAGCGACGCCGCGUGGAGGAAGAAGGUCUUCGGAUUGUAAACUCCUGUUGUUGGGGAAGAUAAUGACGGUACCCAACAAGGAAGUGACGGCUAACUACGUGCCAGCAGCCGCGGUAAAACGUAGGUCACAAGCGUUGUCCGGAAUUACUGGGUGUAAAGGGAGCGCAGGCGGGAAGACAAGUUGGAAGUGAAAUCUAUGGGCUCAACCCAUAAACUGCUUUCAAAACUGUUUUUCUUGAGUAGUGCAGAGGUAGGCGGAAUUCCCGGUGUAGCGGUGGAAUGCGUAGAUAUCGGGAGGAACACCAGUGGCGAAGGCGGCCUACUGGGCACCAACUGACGCUGAGGCUCGAAAGUGUGGGUAGCAAACAGGAUUAGAUACCCUGGUAGUCCACACCGUAAACGAUGAUUAUUAGGUGUUGGAGGAGUGACCCCUUCAGUGCCGCAGUUAACACAAUAAGUAAUCCACCUGGGGAGUACGACCGCAAGGUUGAAACUCAAAGGAAUUGACGGGGGCCCGCACAAGCAGUGGAGUAUGUGGUUUAAUUUGACGCAACGCGAAGAACCUUACCAAGUCUUGACAUCCCUUGACAGACAUAGAAAUAUGUAAUCUCUUCGGAGCAAGGAGACAGGUGGUGCAUGGUUGUCGUCAGCUCGUGUCGUAAGAUGUUGGGUUAAGUCCCGCAACGAGCGCAACCCUUAUGGUCAGUUACUACGCAAGAGGACUCUGGCCAGACUGCCGUUGACAAAACGGAGGAAGGUGGGGAUGACGUCAAAUCAUCAUGCCCUCUAUGACUUGGGCUACACGCGUACUACAAUCGCGUUAAACAAAGAGAAGCAAGACCGCGAGGUGGAGCAAAACUCAGAAACAACGUCCCAGUUCGGACUGCAGGCUGCAACUCGCCUGCACGAAGUCGGAAUUGCUAGUAAUCGUGGAUCAGCAUGCCACGGUGAAUAAGUUCCCGGGCCUUGUACA
This 1338-nucleotide ribosomal RNA is filed under the name uncultured bacterium. RNAcentral's name for it is "bacterial SSU rRNA". It matches the Rfam family "Bacterial small subunit ribosomal RNA", at positions 28 to 1387 of the family's 1533-position model. The record is from RNAcentral.